Caenorhabditis elegans is the source of this 150-nucleotide non-coding RNA. The record is from Ensembl. NCBI's taxonomy places the organism in Eukaryota, Metazoa, Nematoda, Chromadorea, Rhabditida, Rhabditidae.
UGGUAAAAGGUCCGAAAUUUCAAAAAAUAUGAACAUUUUGUAAAACUUCGAGCACUUCUGCAUGUUCCAACCAUUCAAAAAUCGCACAUUUUUGAAUAUAAAUAAAAAUGUUUUUUUAAUAAAUGUUUUGCGAUCAAAUUUGCAUCAUGA